Molecule: non-coding RNA, 87 nt
Filed under: Fidelibacterota (SAR406 cluster)
Lineage: Bacteria; Pseudomonadati
Description: Candidatus Marinimicrobia TPP sequence
Rfam family: TPP riboswitch aptamer (THI element)
About the family: Vitamin B(1) in its active form thiamin pyrophosphate (TPP) is an essential coenzyme that is synthesised by coupling of pyrimidine and thiazole moieties in bacteria. The previously detected thiamin-regulatory element, thi box was extended, resulting in a new, highly conserved RNA secondary structure, the THI element, which is widely distributed in eubacteria and also occurs in some archaea. Analysis of operon structures identified a large number of new candidate thiamin-regulated genes, mostly transporters, in various prokaryotic organisms.
Source: RNAcentral
AAUACUCGACAGGGGUGCUGCAAGCUGAGAUAUACCCUAUAACCUGAUCCAGAUAAUGCUGGCGGAGGAAGUCAAUACACUGAAAGG